UACGUAGGGUGCAAGCGUUGUCCGGAAUUAUUGGGCGUAAAGAGCUCGUAGGCGGUCUGUCGCGUCUGCUGUGAAAACUCAGGGCUUAACCCUGAGCUUGCAGUGGGUACGGGCAGACUAGAGUGCGGUAGGGGAGACUGGAAUUCCUGGUGUAGCGGUGAAAUGCGCAGAUAUCAGGAGGAACACCGGUGGCGAAAGCGGGUCUCUGGGCCGUAACUGACGCUGGAGGAGCGGAAAGCAUCGGGGAGCGAACAGG
RNAcentral lists this ribosomal RNA (256 nucleotides) under uncultured bacterium. Its description in RNAcentral is "partial 16S ribosomal RNA". It matches the Rfam family "Bacterial small subunit ribosomal RNA", at positions 524 to 776 of the family's 1533-position model. The record is from RNAcentral.